CCUUCAUUCCCAAACCUGAAGCCCCCUGUCCCCAGCAGGAAAGACCAGGAAAAAGUGUUGGUUUAAGGUGCAGCAUCCUAUUGAGGAAAUUGUCUAUCUUUCAGAUCUGCCAACCAGGCACGGUGGGUAACAGGUAGGCUGUUCCAGGCCUGGAGUGGCACGCUAGAGCUUCCAGAGGCUUGUAGACCUGAAGCAGUGUGCUGUGGCUAAAUCUAUUAGCGCAAUCACAGUCCUCACAGCUGCAGUCGUCUGACCCUGCACCUGCUACACCGGCCACGACAGAUGAUACAGAUCUGCCACCCCCAGCAGUUCAGCUGCAGUCACAGUAGUCCUCUGCUGUGGUAUUUCAUUUACCGGCUGCACCAGUUCUUACUACACUGGCUGCGAAGGGAGAAACUUUUGAGGAUUCCCAGAUGGAUACAGAUCUGCCAUGCACUCCACCACUGCCCCUGAUAGCCUCUCCCAGAAGUGCAUACACCGGGUCUAUCACUAUUGACAAAGCAGAGAUAGGUGGCUGACAAGGAAAAAUAAAACAACAUCCCACACACACACACACAUUAUCCCCAAUGUAAAUACAUUGUAAUUACUUCAUUAUUUUAUUUUAGGAUUGGAGAUAUCUACACCUACAUAUUCAUUAUCAAUAACUACAUAAUUACUCUAAGAAUCUUUCCAAUCAGUGUGAUUGAUAAUAUUGUAAGAGUAUUGCUUAAUUUGUAGUUUGAGAAAAC
Molecule: long non-coding RNA, 728 nt
Organism: Oncorhynchus tshawytscha (Chinook salmon)
Lineage: Eukaryota; Metazoa; Chordata; Actinopteri; Salmoniformes; Salmonidae
Source: Ensembl